RNAcentral lists this ribosomal RNA (262 nucleotides) under uncultured bacterium. RNAcentral describes it as "partial 16S ribosomal RNA". It matches the Rfam family "Bacterial small subunit ribosomal RNA", at positions 92 to 354 of the family's 1533-position model. The record is from RNAcentral.
UUAGUGGCGGACGGGUGAGUAACGCGUGGAAAACCUGCCGUAUACUGGGGGAUAACACUUAGAAAUAGGUGCUAAUACCGCAUAAGCGCACAGCUUCGCAUGAAGCGGUGUGAAAAACUCUGGUGGUGUAAGAUGGACCCGCGUCUGAUUAGCUUGUUGGCGGGGUAGGGGCCCACCAAGGCGACGAUCAGUAGCCGGCCUGAGAGGGUGGACGGCCACAUUGGGACUGAGACACGGCCCAAACUCCUACGGGAGGCAGCAG